UCGAUGAGCAAAGAAGGGCGUGCGUCACCACCGUCAUAGGGAUCGAACGUGACUACACCUCUGUCCAUGAAUGAGGGCCCCAGAGCAUCACUCGUCCAUGGCACAACUUCUCGGGGCGGUCGGACUCACGGGGGACCAACGGGGUGGCCAAAAUUCCUCCCCGUCGCUCAUGCACCACCGCUGACCAGACCUCGCCAUGGCUUGUGUCGCCUGCACACUGAUUGAUGGUAAGACGCAAUGCAUCGAGUUCGCCUUCUUCUCCACUUAGUGUAGCACCCAUCUGUUUAGACGGGGGAAUCCUGGUGCACCGCGUCAACAUUCUCCAGUGUGGGCGCCGUCGUCCCAAGCGCGUGCCCCACCGUGCUCGGUCGUCGUGCAGAGAAGAAGACCUCUAGCCGUUUGAUCUAAAGCUGGCAGCUGGGAUCAUAUCUGCGUACCCCUUUGUGUGUCUCAAUCCGGGUCGUUGGUGUAGAUCUGUGUGGUUCCCGUGGGAUCUCAAUUCAUUAGAUUUUGGUCGUAGAUCAUCAAUUCAACAAAUGUGAAUGCUUACAGGUUCAGGACUAGGUCACGGUUGUCUAUCUCGCGAUCAAUGGCUCAGGUAGCUUACCGGUUGGAUACAAAAGCCGAUCUAAUCCUGACCACGGGUGGGUGAUCGGACGGCUCUGGAUGGCCUAUACCCCUUCGGCCAUGUGAUUUUGCAUAAAGCCAUAAACCCUCAAGAUUCUAAUAAACCAACCUGUCGUCCCACUCCUAUUGAAACUAAUCACAGUUAGAUCCAUAAAUUUUACAAAACCACCCCUGAAAUUUAUUUUAAGCAUAAAAAGGUGUAUAAAAAUGCAUAAAAACUUAGAUAAUUCAUAUUUUGAUCGUUUUGACUCCAAUUUGACCCGUUCGAAUUAAGUUAGGUGCAUAAUAAUAUUACAUGUACAGUAUAACACUAACUUUUAUAGUUGGGUACUUAUUUUAUGUAUAGUAAAUUAAUCUAACCAAUCCAAGCAGUAUGUUAAUAAUUAUAAUCUUAAUAGAAGGUGAUCUUUAACUACGAUAUGACUUACAUUAGAGUUAAUCUUUAAUGUAUACCUCACAUGAUUUAUAAAAUCAAUCUAGGACCUAGUAUUAGUUGUUUAAUCACAUAUGCCUUCGGAAAACCAUAUCCUUAUAAGCAUAACCCCGAUAUUAGUGGUUCUCGAAUCUGCAAUCUCGUAGUAGCGUGUAGAAUAUUCUUACGCUGUGUGUUCUCAUGUUUGGUGUACUGUUAUUUUUAUGUACUCCUUGUCUAUUUGUAUGUAUUGCUACGAGUAGCAGCGAGGUCAUGUGAAACCCAAAGACUAACUUGGUGAAGUACCUGGGACCUCAAGUCGUAGGCAAGUUGUGCUCUUGAUCACUCUUCUUUACCUAAUAAUGUUCUGUAAUACCCAAGUUGUAAAGAGUAAGAAAGGAGAUAAUUUCCAUAUAUGAUUUGCCUCUAUUUAUUUGAACAUGUGAAUAACCGCAUUUAGAAAUGAAUAAAUAAAAAAUGACACAUGGAUAACUUGUGCAUCAUGUUAGAGUUAUUUGGUUGUGCAUUUAAUAAUAAUAGUAAUCCUAGUGACAAAUAAAUUAAUAUCCAAAGGAUUUAAUACCUAAUUUGAAAAGGAGAAAGGGCAAAGAGAUGAGGAAGAGGGAGAAAAUACUAAAUACAAAAAAAUAUAAAGAAAAAUAUAUUCCUCUUACACUAGGUUGAAAUUAUACAUUUAGUUCAAAUGUGAAACCCACAAUCAAAGUUGAAUUCAAAUUUGAAAUCAAAAUUUAGAAAAAGAAAAGAAAGGAAAAUAAAAAGCAAAGAGGAAAGAAAGCCUACCUGGGCCUCAGACCCCAAUUCGGACAACUAACUCUCCAACGCGCACCUGCCCACUCGGCCUUUGCUUCAACGUGGCCCAUGAUUGAAGCGGGCACCGACCUGUGGGCCCGGGACGUCAGGCAUCGGGGCGCUCAUGAAGGCUUCACUGACUAAUGGGCUCAAGGCGUCAGAAUCUUCCUCAACAAACUGGCCACACCAUUCGGAUCUCCGGCUCACGACACGUGAUCCUCGGCGACAACCUCACCCCGAUUCUGGAGCCUCGACCUAGGUAUAAGACUUGUCGCGCCGCGCCCAUAUGGGCCUAUUCGACCACUUAGAUGGCUAGGUCAUACCACCGCUGCGCGAAUAGGAGGGGAUAGUGCGUCGCCCAGCGCUUAGUCACCGUGUGCCCAGCCGAAUCGCGCGCUGCCGCCACUCCGGUCGAUUGCCGUGGUUGGGAGGCUUCACCAGUGUGCGGCGGAAGUAACUGCGGCGUCAGUGGGGAUCAGUGACCAGCAGUGCCCACAGAAUUUCUCACCGGAGCUCUGAACUGUAAUGGUUUACCCCCUUCCCGUGGGUGGAGCUCGGUGCGCCACCAACAUUGAUAAUGUCACACCCGGGUUUUAGGAGCACCAAGACCCGGGCGCGAACAUAAACACCAGAUAUGCUGGGACCAAGUCUCACACAUAUGAUGUAUAGUGGCACAGGAUCGAAUGUCACAUCUUUAUAUAUAACAGGAGUUCUAUACAAAAUAAAUAAUUACAUUAUAAGGAGACAGUGGUCCAGCAACCCAAAGUUGACUGGGAGACGACGGCCUAGACCUCUCACGAACACAUCGCAGCAUCCUCCAUGCGCCUCAUCCUGUGGUACCUGUUCUUGACCUGUGGGGGGGGUGUGAGACAGCAAGAGUGAGCUCACAUACGUUCAUCGCUCAACAAGUUGUGGGGAAUAAUGUGCAUGAACUCGCCAAAGGUGGGAGCUCACGUGAAGUGUAAGGCUUACCAAAGAGGAUGGUUAGAGCUGAGCAUUGCUUUUAAAGUUGGUCAAAAUUUUAUUAGCAAUUACUAAGUAUAAGUAAAUACCAACCCAAUUAAGUAGUAGAACAAAAGUAACAACAUCACCUGCGAUGCAAUGCAUAUGACAAAUUGAAUUUAAGUUCCAUAAAUUAAUCAUCAGAGAGUCCUGAGCUGCUCAUGACCGUGAGCUCGGCUAGUAUACCAGUUUUACACUCUGCAGAGGUGGUACCCUUUACCCACAAGUCAUGUUACCCAUCUGCCAAGGGAUCGCGACUUCCCAUACACCUCUACCGAGGAGGCGAGGCAGGGUAACACUACGAGGCCUUUACAAAGUUCCACUAGCUUCAGAAAACCCGCUACAGUUUAUAGGAAGCUCCAAUGCAGGAAUCCCUUGCAGGACCGCCAUCGCAGCAAAAUCCUCCCGAGGGCCUCCCUACACUGACCACUCCCCUACUGCCCUUGCCCCUUUCGGGUAAGGUAGUCCUCCACUAGCUUUCCUAAUUAAUCAGCCAAGGGCGUCCAUAAACCCUUGUGGUGGCACGUGUUUCUCAAGUUAAGCUCUAUGUUCCAAUUAACAUUUAAUGAUCUUGUCAUGAACAUAAAUAAAAUAACAACAUAAUUGGAACAUAGAUAUAAUGAAAUAUUAACCCAAAACCAUAUAAAGCAGUAGCAGAACUACCCAAGUGAUUCAGGGGUAAACAAGGUAUUCAGGAUAAACAAACUAGGGUAACCUAUUAGGUCCCAUCAAAAUUAACCUUUGCAGAUCAUUAUGAUUAAUUAGAACAUGAGUGGGUAAAAGAAGUGAUCAAGGGCACAACUUGCCUGGGACUUGAGAUUCCAGGUACCAACUUGCUUUUCAGAUGACACGUGUCCUCGCUCUAGUCGUAGCAAUACAAACAAACAUUGUAUAGGCAAAAUUAACAUUACACCAAGCAUGUAAAUAAAAUACACAGUAAUAAUCUAGACAUUAAAAUAAGAUCACAGGAACUGGAAUCAUUAAAUUUGGAGUUAUAGAUUUCAAGUUAUGAAUUUCCUAAGGUUUAAUGUGAUUGAAAUAGGGUUAAAUGAUAAAUAAAUUUUCUAACAGAGUUCAUGUCAAAACAGUGACUCUAAGUGUUAGAGAAUAAUAUUACAAAAUUUUAGAAAUUGGAAUGGGUUAAAUUGAAGUUCAUAUGGAUUUUCUAUGGAAUAAACAAGUUCUAGCACUUAUUUUCAUAUUAAAUAUUCAUUUUCUAAUUCAAUUAUUCAAUUUAAAUAGGCUCUGGAUUAAGCGUCAAAAUCUGAGAAGCGCAGGGGCCUAGCUGCAAAAAUACCUGUGACUCAGAGCGCUACAGAUAGGACGGCGGGUUGUUUAGUGCUUUCUUCGGGGGUUUUUCUGCAAAGUGGGGGUCGAAAACGGUAUGAUGCAGUUUCGGCCGAUGGAUCGCGGAUGAAUGUUCCUGAUUAGAUUGGCGCAACUGCGAACCGGUAUGUGAUUACAGUCGUCCGAUCACAGAUCAGUGGCCAGUAUUUUACGAAUCCUGAUCAGAGCACGAGCGUUCGAUUCAAAACAGACGUACCCGAUCAACACCGUGAAUCGGUACGCCCCCGCUCUAAUCGCAGCCGCCCAUUGGCCAUCUAACGGCCGAACGAUACCCACUUCUCCUCCUACCCCGCGACGGCGGCGCCGCCGCGCCUACGGCCGAGAAGCCCGGCGAGUUCCCCCAACUCGGCGCUACGCUACUCUGAAUUACUACGGACAGGUGCAACGCACUCCUAACAACACGGUGAAAGUGGUCGGGGAACAUACCAAGAGGUUGGCACGACGACGAGACCCGACCACGCGGAACAGGGGCUUCCGCGGCGGAGCUUGACCACAGCGAGCAAUUAAGGGCCGCACGAUGGACGAUUCCGCCCGCAACCACCACGUACUGUUUCGCAGAAGCUCGGCGCAGGUCCCCGACCCCUUCUAACAACACCAGGCGGCGAUGAAUGGAUGGGAAGGCACAGCGCGGCGGCGAAGGUCUCUCUCUCUCACCUCCGGGCGCCUGUGGUUCUGCGUCGCUGGCCAGAGAAAGAGGAUGGGGGGUUGCGGUGACGGCUCUAUUUAAGCACCGAGGCGAGCAGAUCCCGGCCAGAGGAUCGGAACAGCCUGCCCAAUUCGUGCGGAAUCCAUGGAUUUCGGGCGAUGGUUUGAGUCCGUGUGGAAGACGACCAGUGAUAGGGACCCACCGUCAGCGAAACCAGAAAAUGCGCCUGGUGCACAGAGGAUGCCCGGUGGGACCCAUCGGUCGGGCGGCCGUGGAUUUCGUUGCGCAGAGUCCGUGCGAUUCCAGCAGUACACGCCAGCGCGAGGAAGACGGAUGAGCUGACGACGUGGCCCCACGCGUCAUUGGUUCAAACAGAUGUCCGCGGAGGCUGAUUGGUGGGCCCCGGCGUCAGCAGGCGCGGGUGCGCAGUGGAUGGGCCGCGCAGAGGUGAUUCCCUAGUGGGCCGAAAAGCGGGAUCUCAGCCCAUUCAAGCAUUUCUCUUUUUCUUUUAUUUAUUUUCUGUUUCCCUUCUUUCCAAAUUCACUUCAUUUUGAAUUUAAAUUAAAAUAUUGUGACAAAUUUGUCUUCAGAUUAGAUUGGGUACUAACUUUGAGCAUUUAAUUAUAUAUAUAUUUUAUGUAACUUUUAUACUCUUUACCUCUUUCUCUUCUCACUUCCUAGUUUCAAAUCCAAGCUUCAAUUUAGGGUUUAAUCUAAACUUUCAAUCAUUAUUAUAUUAUUAUUUUUUUCUUAUACGCAUUUUAGGCCUUACAGAUAAGAACUCCACCGACGAACUUGCAUUAAUCCCUUCUGUGUUUUAAAAUCGUUAGACAAGUCAGCGAUGGCCGAGGUGCCAAAUUAACCUAUCACCGGCGGGUUACCGUCGCGGCUGUGUUGCGCGGGGGCACUCGACCAUCGGGGGGGAGAAGAUGACCCCACGACCGUCCAUCUAGGAUUCGACGGUACGGAUUCGAUCGUUGGGUGCGGUCAGGUGGAAUCACCAGUGGUCGUCCAUUGUGAAAUCGAUGGUCCCGAUUAGAUCGUGAGCGCAUUGAUUAUAGACCCUAGAUCUCUGAUCCAACGGCCUGGCCAGCGUACUAAUUCGCUGUCGCAUCUACCUAAUCCGGAGCGUUGGCUCUAAAUUGGAGGGUUGCGAUCACUCCAUACCGAUUCGUCCUGGAACAAAUUGUUAAAGGGCCCCUAUAGUUUCUUGAAAUCAACCCGCAGUCCAGCGCUGGCGUCUGUGUCACAAACUUUUUACGUAGCAGCCCCUACAGUUCUUGGUAUUGUUGCACGCAGUACAGAGGAGAAAACCAAAUAAAUUCAAUUAGAAAAUGAUUUUUAAUGUAAAAAUAAUUGCAGAAACUUGUUUAAUUCCUAGAAAAUUCAUUUUAGUUCCUUUUUGACCCAUUCUAAUUUCUAUAAUUUGGUAUUAAUAUUAUUUAUCACAUAGUGUCUCUGUUUUAGCAUGAAACCUGUAUUAAAAUUGACCCCUUAAUUAUUUUUGUACCAAACACAUAAAACCUUCGGAAAUUUAUAACUCGCAAUCCGUAACUCCGAAUUUAGUGACUCUUGUUCCUACAAUCUCGUUACGAUGUGUAGAUUAUUAUUAUGUAUUAUGUACUCAUGUUUGGUGUGAUGUUAAUUUCUCCCUUGUACCAUGUUUGUUUGUAUUGUGGCGAGUAGACGAGCCAGUGGCCGAGGAUUCAGGUGUUCAACAGGUAGAACUUGCUGAGCAGGUACUCAUUGAAGGCAAGUUGUGCCUUUGACCACUUUUAUUUACCCAAUAAUGUACUCUAUAAUCAUUUUAUCAUGCAUAGGCUUAAUUUUGAUGGAACCCAAUAGGCCACCAUAGUCUGGUUAUCUUUACACCUUGUUUACCUCUGAAUUUUUGGGUAGUCUUUGUUGUUGCUAUAUAUGGUUUUGGGUGUUGAGACAACUAUUACACAUGAUCAUUCUUUAUUAUUGUUCUAUUUUUGUUCAUGAUAAGACAACUAUGUUAAUUAGAACAUCGAGCUUAACUUGAGAAACACGUGCCACCACAAGGGUGGAAUGGGACGCUCUUGGCUGAAUAACUAGGAAAGCUAGUGGAGGACUACCUUACCUGAAAGGGGCAAGGGCAGUAGGGGAGUAGGCGUGUAGGGAGGUUCUCAGGUUGAUUUUGCAGCGAUGGCGGUCAGACGGGGGAUUCCUGCAUUACUCUUCCUAGAAACUGUAGCGGGUUUUCUGAAGCUAGUGGAACUUUGUAAAGGCCUCGUAGUGGAUCCCUAGCCAUUCACCUCGGCGGUGUCUAAGGGCCUUGCAAACCCAGGCUAGAUGGGAUACACGACUUGUGUUACAGGGUACAACCUCUGAAGAGUGUAAAAUUGGUAUACUAGUCGUGCUCGCGGUCAUGAGCAACUCAAGACUCUUGCAUGAUUAAUUUAUGGAAUUAAAUUCAAUUUGUCAUUUGCAUCGCAUUGGGAUUUAUUAUUAAUUUUGAUCUACUAUUACUCUGGUUUGGUAUCUACUUACAUUUAGUAACUGCUAAUAAAAAUUGACCAACCUUACUAAAAGCAAUGCUCAUCUUUAACCCUUAUUUGUUGAUCAGCCUUACACUUCACAUGAACUCUCACCUUUGGUGAGUUCAUGCACAUUAUUCCCCACAACUUGUUGAGCUAUGAUCUUUUGUGAGCUCACCCUUGCAAUAUAUAAACCCCCCACAGGAGAAGAACAGGUGGUCUAGGAG
This 7572-nucleotide long non-coding RNA is filed under the name Zea mays. Its description in RNAcentral is "long non-coding RNA (ZMAY_LNC002423)". Lineage: Eukaryota; Viridiplantae; Streptophyta; Magnoliopsida; Poales; Poaceae. The record is from RNAcentral.